This 540-nucleotide ribosomal RNA is filed under the name Pseudomonas sp. HPC108. RNAcentral's name for it is "partial 16S ribosomal RNA". The record is from RNAcentral. Lineage: Bacteria; Pseudomonadati; Pseudomonadota; Gammaproteobacteria; Pseudomonadales; Pseudomonadaceae.
AUGACGCUGGCGGCAGGCCUACACAUGCAGUCGAGCGGCAGCCGAGGUGACUGGUCAUUUUUCACGAGAGCCGGAGAGGUGAGAAUUGUGUGGGGAACUGUGUGAGAGGAGGGAUAUCUAUACUGAACACUGUCUCUAAUAGCGUAUCGUCUCACAAGAAAAAAGAGGGACCCCUCGCCCCCGCGCUCUCAUAUGGCCCCAUAUGAUUAAUCUAAUGUGUGGUAAAACGUCUCAUAUACGAAAAAUCUAUCUGUGUCAGAGAAUAAGAACACACACUCUGGAAGAGACACACUCCACACACCCACACGGAGACAGAACUGGGGAAAUAUGCACUAGGCGCGAACUGUGUCGCCCUUCGCGUGGUGAGAAAAGGCUUCGGGUGAAAAUCAUUACACGAGAAAGCGCUUAAUUAUAAAACCCCCAUUAGCUUUCCCGCAAAAAACCGGUUAUUCCUGCCCAGCCCGGGUAUACCAGGGGUCAAGCUAAUCGAAAUAUGGCUUAAGACACAGGCGUAAAGGAUUAAUCGGGUACUGAAUGUCA